Molecule: ribosomal RNA, 441 nt
Filed under: uncultured bacterium
Lineage: Bacteria
Description: partial 16S ribosomal RNA
Rfam family: Bacterial small subunit ribosomal RNA
Source: RNAcentral
CCUACGGGAGGCAGCAGUAGGGAAUUUUGCGCAAUGGGGGAAACCCUGACGCAGCAACGCCGCGUGAUCGAUGAAGCCCUUCGGGGUGUAAAGAUCUGUCAGUGGGGACGAAACCUGACGGUACCCACAGAGGAAGCACCGGCUAACCCCGUGCCAGCAGCCGCGGUAAUACGGGGGGUGCAAGCGUUGUCCGGAAUCAUUGGGCGUAAGGAGUUCGUGGGUGGCACGGUAAGGCUGGUGUUAAAGGCGGAGGCUCAACCUACGUAGGGCCCUGGAUACUGGAGAGCUUGAGUGCGGUAGAGGUAAAGGGAAUUCCUGGUGUAGCGGUGAAAUGCGUAGAUAUCAGGAGGAACACCGGUGGCGUAGGCGGUUUACUGGGCCGUAAUUGACGCUGAGGAACGAAAGCCGGGGUAGCAAAUGGGAUUAGAUACCCUAGUAGUC